Molecule: ribosomal RNA, 440 nt
Filed under: uncultured bacterium
Lineage: Bacteria
Description: bacterial SSU rRNA
Rfam family: Bacterial small subunit ribosomal RNA
Source: RNAcentral
CCUACGGGAGGCAGCAGUGGGGAAUAUUGCACAAUGGGCGCAAGCCUGAUGCAGCGACGCCGCGUGAGCGAUGAAGGCCUUCGGGUCGUAAAGCUCUGUCCUAAGGGAAGAAUAAUGACGGUACCUUAGGAGGAAGCCCCGGCUAACUACGUGCCAGCAGCCGCGGUAAUACGUAGGGGGCGAGCGUUAUCCGGAAUCACUGGGCGUAAAGGGGGCGUAGGCGGCCCUGCAAGUCAGGAGUUAAAUCCCUCGGCUCAACCGAGGUCAGCUCUUGAAACUGUAGGGCUAGAGUGCAGGAGGGGAAAGCGGAAUUCCCAGGGUAGCGGUGAAAUGCGUAGAGAUUGGGAGGAACACCAGUGGCGAAGGCGGCUUUCUGGACUGUAACUGACGCUGAGGCACGAAAGCGUGGGGAGCAAACAGGAUUAGAUACCCUUGUAGUC